Molecule: ribosomal RNA, 349 nt
Filed under: uncultured Enterobacteriaceae bacterium
Lineage: Bacteria; Pseudomonadati; Pseudomonadota; Gammaproteobacteria; Enterobacterales; Enterobacteriaceae
Description: bacterial SSU rRNA
Rfam family: Bacterial small subunit ribosomal RNA
Source: RNAcentral
CUGUGAGACAGGUGCUGCAUGGCUGUCGUCAGCUCGUGUUGUGAAAUGUUGGGUUAAGUCCCGCAACGAGCGCAACCCUUAUCCUUUGUUGCCAGCGGUCCGGCCGGGAACUCAAAGGAGACUGCCAGUGAUAAACUGGAGGAAGGUGGGGAUGACGUCAAGUCAUCAUGGCCCUUACGACCAGGGCUACACACGUGCUACAAUGGCGCAUACAAAGAGAAGCAAUCUCGCGAGAGCUAGCGGACCUCAUAAAGUGCGUCGUAGUCCGGAUUGGAGUCUGCAACUCGACUCCAUGAAGUCGGAAUCGCUAGUAAUCGUGAAUCAGAAUGUCACGGUGAAUACGUUCCCG